RNAcentral lists this ribosomal RNA (1047 nucleotides) under Samsoniella farinospora. RNAcentral's name for it is "SSU rRNA". It matches the Rfam family "Eukaryotic small subunit ribosomal RNA", at positions 47 to 1106 of the family's 1831-position model. Lineage: Eukaryota; Fungi; Ascomycota; Sordariomycetes; Hypocreales; Cordycipitaceae. The record is from RNAcentral.
AGCCAUGCAUGUCUAAGUAUAAGCAAUUAUACAGCGAAACUGCGAAUGGCUCAUUAUAUAAGUUAUCGUUUAUUUGAUAGUACCUUACUACUUGGAUAACCGUGGUAAUUCUAGAGCUAAUACAUGCUAAAAAUCCCGACUUCGGAAGGGAUGUAUUUAUUAGAUUAAAAACCAAUGCCCUCUGGGCUCCUUGGUGAUUCAUAAUAACUUUUCGAAUCGCAUGGCCUUGCGCCGGCGAUGGUUCAUUCAAAUUUCUUCCCUAUCAACUUUCGAUGUUUGGGUAUUGGCCAAACAUGGUCGCAACGGGUAACGGAGGGUUAGGGCUCGACCCCGGAGAAGGAGCCUGAGAAACGGCUACUACAUCCAAGGAAGGCAGCAGGCGCGCAAAUUACCCAAUCCCGAUUCGGGGAGGUAGUGACAAUAAAUACUGAUACAGGGCUCUUUUGGGUCUUGUAAUUGGAAUGAGUACAAUUUAAAUCCCUUAACGAGGAACAAUUGGAGGGCAAGUCUGGUGCCAGCAGCCGCGGUAAUUCCAGCUCCAAUAGCGUAUAUUAAAGUUGUUGUGGUUAAAAAGCUCGUAGUUGAACCUUGGGCCUGGCUGGCCGGUCCGCCUCACCGCGUGUACUGGUCCGGCCGGGCCUUUCCCUCUGUGGAACCUCAUGCCCUUCACUGGGUGUGGCGGGGAAACAGGACUUUUACUUUGAAAAAAUUAGAGUGCUCCAGGCAGGCCUAUGCUCGAAUACAUUAGCAUGGAAUAAUGAAAUAGGACGUGUGGUUCUAUUUUGUUGGUUUCUAGGACCGCCGUAAUGAUUAAUAGGGACAGUCGGGGGCAUCAGUAUUCAAUUGUCAGAGGUGAAAUUCUUGGAUUUAUUGAAGACUAACUACUGCGAAAGCAUUUGCCAAGGAUGUUUUCAUUAAUCAGGAACGAAAGUUAGGGGAUCGAAGACGAUCAGAUACCGUCGUAGUCUUAACCAUAAACUAUGCCGACUAGGGAUCGGACGAUGUUAUUUUUUGACGCGUUCGGCACCUUACGAGAAAUCAAAGUGC